Molecule: ribosomal RNA, 841 nt
Filed under: Schistocerca lineata (birdwing grasshopper)
Lineage: Eukaryota; Metazoa; Arthropoda; Insecta; Orthoptera; Acrididae
Description: partial 16S ribosomal RNA
Source: RNAcentral
UUAUUUAUUUUAUUAUAUUUAUUUUUUGUUUAUUUAAUUAUUUAAUAAAAAUAAUUUUAUUGAAUUUUGUCUUAGUAUAUUUUGUAGAAUUGAUUUUUUAAAUUAUAGUUUAUUGGUAAUGUAAUUGUUUUAUGAAAUAUUAUUUUAAAUUUUUAAAAGUAUAUUUUAUUUAUUGUACCUUUUGUAUCAGGGUUUAUCAAAAUUUUAGUAUUUAAUUUACUUGUCUCGAUUUGGGUUGAUUUAUAAAUAAUUUAUAGUUAAUGUAUCAUAAUUAUUAUUAAAUUAUUUAUGGAAAUGAAAUGUUAAUCGUUUCCCAAGAUAUCUAGUUUCUUAAGAAAAAUUUUAAUUUUUUAAAGUUAAUUGUUUUUAUUUAAUUUUUUAAUUAUAAAUAUUAACUUAUUUAUUCUUUAAGGGAUAAGCUUUGAAGUUAAUAACCUAUAAUUUGUUUUGUAAAAUAUAAUAGUAAGCUUUAAACCAGCUAUCUUUAAGAUUACGUUUUAGUUCAUUAUUUUCUAUUUUGAUUUUAUAAUUAUUUUAGGUUUUUUAUUAGGAUUAUUUAUUUAAUUUUAAAAUUUUUGUAAUAAUGAUAGAAUUAGUAUAUUUACUUGUAUAUAAUUUUUACCUUGUGAAUUUAUAAUAAGGAACUAGGCAAAAUUGAUUUCCGCCUGUUUAUCAAAAACAUGUCCUCUUGAAAAUACUUUGAGGUCUGGCCUGCUCACUGAGCGGAUUUUUAAAGAGCCGCGGUAUUUUGACCGUGCAAAGGUAGCAUAAUCAUUAGUCUCUUAAUUAGUGGCUGGAAUGAAUGGCUUGACGAGAAAUCAACUGUCUCUUAAUAAAUUUU